UACGUAGGAUCCGAGCGUUGUCCGGAAUUACUGGGUGUAAAGGGCGUGUAGGUGGGCUCUUAAGCCGGUGUGAAAUCUUGCAGCUUAACUGCAAAAUUGCCGUCGAUACUGGGGGCCUUGAGUACGGCAGAGGGAGGUGGAAUUCAUGGUGUAGCGGUGAAAUGUGUAGAUAUCAUGAAGAACACCGGUAGCGAAGGCGGUCUCCUGGUCCAUCACUGACACUGAGGCGCGAAAGCGUGGGGAGC
RNAcentral lists this ribosomal RNA (245 nucleotides) under uncultured bacterium. Its description in RNAcentral is "partial 16S ribosomal RNA". It matches the Rfam family "Bacterial small subunit ribosomal RNA", at positions 524 to 769 of the family's 1533-position model. The record is from RNAcentral.